AAUCUUCAAAACCCUUUUUCUUUAAAGGGUCUUUGGACUUGGAGGUUCAAUGCUUGCCUUGAAAGCGAGCUCCUCUCAAAUGAAUCAGUGGGGUCCGCUUUGCUGAUCCUUGACGUGAUAAGAUGUUUCUACGUUUUGGGUUUAGCACUGUCCCUUGGAUGCCUGCUCCUAACUGUCUCAUGGACAAUGAUGGUGCUCUGGUCACCGGCCGUCUACAUCGGCGGGGGGCUGGACCCACAAAAAGAAAACC
Molecule: unclassified non-coding RNA, 250 nt
Filed under: uncultured Russula
Lineage: Eukaryota; Fungi; Basidiomycota; Agaricomycetes; Russulales; Russulaceae
Description: sequence contains ITS2
Source: RNAcentral